GGGUCGCUAGCUCAGUCGGCAGAGCACCGGCCUUUUAAGCCGAGGGUCGUGGGUUCGAGUCCCACGCGACCCACCA
RNAcentral lists this transfer RNA (76 nucleotides) under Deltaproteobacteria bacterium. Its description in RNAcentral is "tRNA-Lys". It matches the Rfam family "tRNA". From Rfam's summary of the family: Transfer RNA (tRNA) molecules are approximately 80 nucleotides in length. Their secondary structure includes four short double-helical elements and three loops (D, anti-codon, and T loops). Further hydrogen bonds mediate the characteristic L-shaped molecular structure. tRNAs have two regions of fundamental functional importance: the anti-codon, which is responsible for specific mRNA codon recognition, and the 3' end, to which the tRNAs corresponding amino acid is attached (by aminoacyl-tRNA synthetases). tRNAs cope with the degeneracy of the genetic code in two manners: having more than one tRNA (with a specific anti-codon) for a particular amino acid; and 'wobble' base-pairing, i.e. permitting non-standard base-pairing at the 3rd anti-codon position. Lineage: Bacteria; Pseudomonadati; Myxococcota; Myxococcia. The record is from RNAcentral.